This 459-nucleotide unclassified non-coding RNA is filed under the name Chionanthus sp. DH-2011. RNAcentral describes it as "partial external transcribed spacer". RNAcentral also lists the same sequence under 1 other name. The record is from RNAcentral. Lineage: Eukaryota; Viridiplantae; Streptophyta; Magnoliopsida; Lamiales; Oleaceae.
GGCUUGUGUGGGUAUGUUGGAUCCCUGCUAGCGCAGCGACAACGUCACCCGCAUGCCUAUUCACUAGAUCGUCCGGUGUUGUUURCACCGGUUGUCUUGAGUUCGGUUGCCUGUGCAUCAUACCUAUCUCAAAGGUAUCGCGUUGCCUAAAAACRAAACAUUUUCGCCCGAAACURCAACCAUGGUUGCGGUUGAAGGUGGAACCAGAAGCACCCGUCGUGUUCCUCCCGUCCGCGUUCUMCGCGRCGGGCAUUGGCCCAUGACGGUGCGCUCGGAUUCUCGGAUACGGAAAAUUCGGUGGGUACGAGGAUGCACGUCCUUAAUCUACCCAACAAAGAAGCCCUCGACGCUUCGUGCGACAGACGAUCUUCCGCGUCCUUGGCUGGGUCUCGCACUCGGUCCAUGCGUGGUCGACGUCGAAGAGGAAUGCUACCUGGUUGAUCCUGCCAGUAGUCAUAU